Molecule: long non-coding RNA, 268 nt
Filed under: Elaeis guineensis (African oil palm)
Lineage: Eukaryota; Viridiplantae; Streptophyta; Magnoliopsida; Arecales; Arecaceae
Description: long non-coding RNA (EGUI_LNC023715)
Source: RNAcentral
AUAAUAUAAUAAUAUAAUAUGAUGUGUUAUAAGAUGUAAUUAUGAAAUUUAUUAGUAGGUAUUUCGAUCAUUAAAAAAUUUUAUUUAAAUCAAAAUAGCUUUCCAAUAUUAACCAAAAGUAUUUUUGAAAAAAGCUCUAAAAUGGAGCUUUUCUCAAGUAGGUACCUUUUCAACUUUCUGAUAUAAUCAAAAUAAUUUUAUGACUUUUUACUAAACAUCACUAUACUGUACCUUCUGACCCUCUAAAAGCUCAGUCAAAUAGGACCUA